RNAcentral lists this unclassified non-coding RNA (343 nucleotides) under soil metagenome. RNAcentral's name for it is "partial contains 5.8S ribosomal RNA, internal transcribed spacer 2, and large subunit ribosomal RNA". The stretch from base 1 to 119 matches the Rfam family "5.8S ribosomal RNA", at positions 35 to 154 of the family's 154-position model. The record is from RNAcentral.
GAUGAAGAACGUAGCGAAAUGCGAUACGUAAUGUGAAUUGCAAAUUCAGUGAAUCAUCGAAUCUUUGAACGCACAUUGCGCCCACUGGUAUUCCGGUGGGCAUGCCUGUUCGAGCGUCAUUAUCCUCCCUCAAACCCCGGGUUUGGUGUUGGACCCAAGUUGUGUGAACAACUGGUCUCAAAGACAAUGACGGCGUCCGUGGGACCCUCGGUGCAACGAGCUUUUAGGAGCACGCAUCGAGUUGCAAGGACCUUCCGGGCCGGUCUCCUUUACCAUUUUACAAGGUUGACCUCGGAUCAGGUAGGAAUACCCGCUGAACUUAAGCAUAUCAAUAAGCGGAGGA